This is a long non-coding RNA of Gasterosteus aculeatus aculeatus (three-spined stickleback), 4141 nucleotides long. Lineage: Eukaryota; Metazoa; Chordata; Actinopteri; Perciformes; Gasterosteidae. The record is from Ensembl.
CAAAUUGAAACACAUAUUUUUAAUGUUUGUUAUCACAACCUUUUAGAUCUCAGGUCACAGUCCUGUCAUGUGACAAGUCAGAUCAGCUGAUCACUAGGGAGCAGAUGAGACGGCUCUGAUUCUAUGUCAGUUAACAUUAAGAGAGCCCUCACCAGACUGGAACGGGUCUCAUGUCAUCACAACAGGUGUAUGAUGUCAUCGCAGCCGCAGUAUUGUCUUGCACAGAAUCUGAUUUCAUCACCUGUUCUGGGUCCGAACACGGUGAAGCAGCCUCGUGUUGAAACAGAGUCAGAGAAGAUGAACAGGAUUGUGGUUUUGAAGCGAUGUUUGUUCAUGACAAACAUUUAAUCAAUGGAGAACUGAAAACAUCCAAACUGAUGACUUCCUGUAUCUUCUUUAUAUACAUCUGUAUAUAUAUAUAAACAAGCUGUUUACCAGAUUAAUGUAAUCAUCAUGUCAUCCGCUCGGUACAUGGAGGUACCAGCUGAGUCUCCAGCUUCGAAUGAAUCUGGUAUCAGAUAAGUCUGGUACUAUGUAUAUAUCUGGUAUCAGGUGAGUCUGGUUCCGGUACUAGGUGGGUAUGGUACUAUGUGCGUCUGGCAUCAGGUGAGCAUUGUACCAGGUGGGCCUGGUACGGGUGAGUCUGGUAUUAGGUGGGUCAAGCUUCAGGUGAGUCUGGGUGGGGCAUCGGAGUAAAUCUGUUUUCUUGUCAUAAGCAAACAUCCCCACAGAGACGGAUUCUCACUGAGCAUCACAGAUCUAGAAAAAAACUGAAACUAUAGAAAACAUUGAGGGGACAUUCAUCAGCAGAACUAAGUGGAACCUGCAGGUUUAACAGGUUUCACUUCUUUCUUUGAUCACAACACCUUCAGAGUUCAACCUUUGUGUGCUUUGUUUGUGUAGACACACCCGAAGUAUUGGGUUAGCACCAUGUGAUCAUGUAGGCGGUGUCAUAGAGCUUGACUGACGAGUGCUAGGUCCAAUCAGAGAGUCCUCUGCCAGUGAAGGAUGUGUUGGCACAGAAGCCCGGCAGAGUCCGCAGACACGUAAUUACUUUCUAGAUAUCUAACACCAUAUUCACUUCCAUUUAUAUACUGUUGACUGGAACCAUUUUCGUUACACUUUUAAAAAUAUAUUUUGCAAAUGCAAAAAAAGGAAAUAUCAUUUUUUUUCUAGUAUGACUGGAUGAGUGAUGAUUUUGUGGUUCUGGGAUUAAUCACAGUCUGUUCAGCCUUAACUUGACGUGGAGCAAAUCUUUACUACUUUCUUUAAACUUGUUUUAACUUUGUUUUAAACAUCUUUUAGCAGCAUGCUAAACAUUAACUGGAACAUCACAAGAAGCGAAAGCCUCAAACUGAGUCAAACAUGCCGAAAAACAGCAGAGGCGAACAAACCCUCUUGUAUCAAAACCAGAUUUCAGGAGCGACCAUCUUCUUUACAACACUGCAGAGGAAACAGCCAACCACCAGAGCGAGGAAGCAGUCAUACAGCAGCUCAACCAGCACCUGAAGAGUAAGGAUGGAUCUAAAUGUUCGGGGUCCUCUUAACGUAACUUAACAAGACUAUCCAUCAUUCCUAGUGGAUGUGAGAAUAUAGAGUAGGGGUCUCAAACUGAAAUCAGGUGCGGGCCAGAUGCAGCCCACUUCGACCGAACGCGGGCCAGACCAUUACGGUGGUGGUGGCGCUGACGGUCCGAACGGUACGGUCAACGGGGGGGCUGUAAUAAAGUUGUUUUCCUGGAGUGUAAUGAACAUAAUAGCCUGAGGGGGACAGAACGGAGGCAGCCAAUGUCAACAGCUUUGCUGAAACCUUUAGUUAGUUAUAAGGAUGUUAUUUAUUGAACAUAGUCCAUAUUUUGUCCUCAGGGUGAUUAUUUACACCUUUAGUUUCUGGUUGAGGUGAACGACUGGUCUCCCAUUUAUUUUUACCCAUCUGUAACUUGAUGAACUCGUUUAUCCCUCAGACAUUGACGGAUGCAACAAAUCAGCAACAAAUAAACUGGGUAGUAAAGAAAAGCAUUAGCAAGAUAACUUUUUUGCCACCAAUACAGCAAGUCACGAGCGAGCAGCUACAAUAAAUAACGUUUCCGCAGAGAGCUCAAACACAAGAAGAAUACAACCAUUGAACAGUAGUUGGGUCUUUUUUUUCAUUAAAAUAAAAUAUUCAAAACAUACUUUCAUAUAUAAGCAAUAAAAAUAAGUAACGUCUCAACACUCCAAUAAUAACUCUUACAUUAAUAUUGUGCUCUCUGUGAUUCUAUCUCUUUACAAAUACUCAUUAAUUCAUAUAGAUAUUUAUGUAUUCAUAUAUAUAUUCCGGUUUUGCAUCCUCGUUCUGCAAGAACUGUUGACAGUGCAAAGACCUAAUUUAUGCAGUUCAUAAACGGAGACCUGAUCCCCGUGGCUGAUGGGAGUGUGGAAGGCAAUAAGUGGUCAAUGAGGAGAUAGCAUGAGGCUGGCUGUUAGCACCACAGGAGAUCCAGAAGGGCAAUCCACUUACAAAGGAGGGAGGAUUCAAUCCAGUGGAGGAAAGACAUUCUGGCAUAAUCGAUUCCAGAGGAUCAGGAGACGUUCACUGCAGAACUCCAAGAUGGAUCCUUGCUUCUUGAAUGUGAGGAGAGACAAUCUGGUCCAGAAGAUCUGGAAGGAUGUUCAACUCAAGACCAUCUUGGAGGGAGGGUCUAUUUCAGAAUUUAAGAAGGGAAUGUCCUCUUCAGAAGGCCAGAAGGGAGCAUCUACUGCAGAACUCCAGAUGGUUUAGAUGGAAUAGUCUGGGAGAAUAUUACCUUCAGAUGGUCGGGAUAAUGACUCCAGUGGUUCAGAAAGGAUGAAUCCAGAAGGGCUAGGGCAGAUAAGAUAAUCAGAAAUCCCAGAGAGAUUGUCCCCUCCAAAAAGCUAAAAGCAACCAUCCUCUCGAGGUGGUCAAGAAGGAUGACCUGCUCUAAAGGUUUGGAAAGGAUGAUCAUCGAACAAUCCACUCCAGGAAGCACUUCAAUGGAAAUGUGUAGAGAAACUCUAAUGUCUAAUGAAAAGCUGAGCUGAAGGAUGACAAGCAGAAAGACGGGACCGUGUAAAGUACCGGAGAUCUUUCAGUCAGGGGACAUUGUCCUUUUAUUCACGUGGGGUUUCUGGCCCGGCGUCGUCUUGAGUUUAGCGGCACAGAUGUAGAUUAGCUCAAGAGAGUCCAGAAUGUGGAUCACUUAGUUAAACGCUUUUAAUCCCAUCUUUGCAGGCUCUUUGUUUUUUGCAUGUGGCUGAAACAAGUUGAAGUCUGAUCCAAGCGGGUCCAGACCAGUCUAAGGAUAGUUGGUCACCGCAGUCUGUUUCUGGGCCAGGCGUCGCAGCUCCUCCCUGAUGGCCUUUAUAAGGGAGGCAGAGGUAUGGGCGGAAGGGGAGGCGUCCUCCGGUGGGUACUCAGGAGUCGGCGAUGUAAGAAGGAGAGGCGGAGCUGAGGGAUCCCGUAACGAGGAGCUGGGCAUCUGGAAAACUGAAGAAGAGAACUCAGGAAACGACAGCACCUGUAGGAAGGAGGGAAGAAAGAGGGUGAGGCCAAGGCCAGAACGCUAACCACUAUUCCUAAACACUAGAUCCAGAUUAAAGACAUGAAGAGAAACUACUUAGGAAAUUAGGGCAACAGACAACGACAACCACCAUCGCUGGUAGACUUGUAACUGAACAACAUGAAAGGUCUUAAGACUUGACUGAUAAGAACUGGUCCGAACUAAUCUGAACUGACUGCCCAGUACUAGUCUGGAUUUGAAUCAACGGGAUAUAUCUUGACAGGUCAGGACUUGUCUAGACUGGACUUGUCCAGUUUCUGUCAGCUCAGUGGUUCCCACCAGUGAACCACUGGGUCAGCUUAAGUUAACUAAGACAGAAGUGAACAACAAAAGGUGAUGAGUUGACUGAUCUCCACCCUUUAUCACCAUGUUUAUCUAAAAUAGAAACAACUAAACACAACUAGUUCAAAUUUGGUUUAGUCACACUCUCUUUGCUGGCUCCGGGUCUGGAGAGGUCCUGGUCUGAAUGGCGCUGGUUCCAGCUGGAGCCGGUGGGACCAGACAUGCUGCGACCCACCCCCGGGUACACACUGAUCUGACUGGACAAACCCACUUGGGUCAGAUGGUGGAGCUGGGCACCUG